This 218-nucleotide unclassified non-coding RNA is filed under the name Pinguicula variegata. RNAcentral describes it as "ITS2". The record is from RNAcentral. Lineage: Eukaryota; Viridiplantae; Streptophyta; Magnoliopsida; Lamiales; Lentibulariaceae.
CGCAGCACCGCACCCCCCUCCUAGCUUGGGGAUGGGGCCAACGUGUCAUAGACUGGCCUCCCGUGCGCCCCGUUGCACGGAUGGCCCAAAUGCAAUCCCUCGGCGAUGCACGCCACGACAAUCGGUGGUUGAUCAGUCGACACACGUGCCGUCGUGCUCCGCAGCAUCGCCAGUGAGGGCAUCCUAGAUGGACCCAAUGGCGCACGCCGCCAGUACUC